Molecule: ribosomal RNA, 396 nt
Filed under: uncultured bacterium
Lineage: Bacteria
Description: partial 16S ribosomal RNA
Rfam family: Bacterial small subunit ribosomal RNA
Source: RNAcentral
AAUAUUGGACAAUGGGGGCAACCCUGAUCCAGCCAUGCCGCGUGAGUGAAGAAGGCCCUAGGGUUGUAAAGCUCUUUCGCCAGGGAAGAUAAUGACGGUACCUGGUAAAGAAGUCCCGGCUAACUUCGUGCCAGCAGCCGCGGUAAUACGAAGGGGGCUAGCGUUGUUCGGAAUUACUGGGCGUAAAGCGCACGUAGGCGGAUUAUUAAGUCAGGGGUGAAAUCCCGCAGCUCAACUGCGGAACUGCCUUUGAUACUGGUAAUCUAGAGACCGAGAGAGGUAAGUGGAACUCCUAGUGUAGAGGUGGAAUUCGUAGAUAUUAGGAAGAACACCAGUGGCGAAGGCGGCUUACUGGCUCGGAACUGACGCUGAGGUGCGAAAGCGUGGGGAGCAAAC